RNAcentral lists this ribosomal RNA (306 nucleotides) under Triticum aestivum (bread wheat). RNAcentral describes it as "partial small subunit ribosomal RNA". Lineage: Eukaryota; Viridiplantae; Streptophyta; Magnoliopsida; Poales; Poaceae. The record is from RNAcentral.
AUGUGGCGUUGCUGCCCAGGCCUAAACGCCAUGAGCUUUGGCGUUUAUAGCUUGGGAGCUGGAGGGUGCGACGACAGCAGCACAGGGCCGCCUUGCACGGGGUGGGUGGAGAUCAUGGUCCCGGUGUUCUCCCGCGCGGCGUGGCGCUGCAGCUGGGGCAUGGUGCAGAACGACCUGGUGCACGUGUGGGGCCUCAACCACAAGCUCGGCUACUGCACGCAGGGAGCUAAUCGUUACCUCAGGCAGGAGCGUCGCGCUCUCGCCUCUCUCCAUGGCGUCCAUGUCGCUGACGAGCUAUAUGUCUAG